UACGAGGGGGGCAAGCGUUGUUCGGAAUUAUUGGGCGUAAAGGGUGCGUAGGCGGUCUGAUAAGUCAUCUGUGAAAUCUAUGGGCUCAACCCAUAGUCUGCAGGCGAAACUGUCGGGCUUGAGUAUGGGAGAGGUGAGUGGAAUUUCCGGUGUAGCGGUGAAAUGCGCAGAUAUCGGGAGGAACACCGGUGGCGAAGGCGGUUCUCUGGGCCUGUACUGACGCUGAGGAGCGAAAGCGUGGGGAGCGAACAGG
Molecule: ribosomal RNA, 253 nt
Filed under: uncultured bacterium
Lineage: Bacteria
Description: partial 16S ribosomal RNA
Rfam family: Bacterial small subunit ribosomal RNA
Source: RNAcentral